GUGAAGAUGAAACUAGUUGCCAGAUACUGUCGAGUUGAUAAACGAGCCUUCGUUUAGGGUUUUGCUGGCUUUGCAGCUUUGAACCUUGAUUUUAGUCGGCUUUGUUUGACAGGUUAUAGUUAGAGUUUAUCAUGUGUGUACCAUGGGCCUUAUAAGGUUAGAUUCUAAGCCUCUGUAUUUAGGCUGUAACUCUUUUAAUGCAA
RNAcentral lists this unclassified non-coding RNA (203 nucleotides) under Hevea brasiliensis (rubber tree). Lineage: Eukaryota; Viridiplantae; Streptophyta; Magnoliopsida; Malpighiales; Euphorbiaceae. The record is from RNAcentral.